AUGGGGGUUGUUUCAGUUGUGGAAGUUGUAAUUGUGGGGGUUGUUUCUGUUGUUGUGGAAGGUGUUAUUGUGGGGGUCGUUUCAGUUGUUGUGGAAGUUGAAAAUGUGGGAGUUGUUUCAGUUGUUGUGGAAGUUGAAAUUGUGGGGGUUGUUUCUGUUGUUGUGGAAGGUGUUAUUGUGGGGGUCGUUUCAGUUGUUGUGGAAGGUGUUAUUGUGGGGGUCGUUUCAGUUGUGGAAGAUGUGGAGGUUGUUUCAGUUGUUGUGGAAGUUGUAAUUGUGGGGGUCGUUUCUGUUGUUGUGGAAGGUGUUGUUAUGGGGGUCGUUUCAGUUGUUGUGGAAGGUGUAAUGGUUGGAGUUGUUUCAGUUGUUGUGGAAGGUGUUAUUGUGGGGGUCGUUUCAGUUGUGGAAGAUGUUGUGGAGGUUGUUUCAGUUGUUGUGGAAGGUGUUAUUGUGGGAGUCGUUUCAGUUGUGGAAGAUGUUGUGGAGGUUGUUUCAGUUGUUGAAGAAGUUGUAAUUGUGGGGGUCGUUUCUGUUGUUGUGGAAGGUGUUGUUAUGGGGGUCGUUUCAGUUGUGGAAGGUGUUGUUAUGGGGGUCGUUUCUGUUGUUGUGGAAGGUGUUAUUGUGGGGGUUGUUUCUGUUGUUGUGGAAGGUGUUAUUAUGGGGGUCGUUUCAGUUGUGGAAGGUGUUGUUAUGGGGGUCGUUUCUGUUGUUGUUGAGGUUGAAAUUGUGGGGGUUGUUUCUGUUGUUGUGGAAGGUGUUAUUGUGGGGGUCGUUUCUGUUGUUGUGGAAGUUGAAAAUGUGGGAGUUGUUUCAGUUGUUGUGGAAGUUGAAAUUGUGGGGGUUGUUUCUGUUGUUGUGGAAGGUGUUAUUGUGGGGGUCGUUUCAGUUGUUGUGGAAGAUGUUGUGGAGGUUGUUUCACUUGUUGAAGAAGGUGUUAUUGUGGGGGUCGUUUCAGUUGUGGAAGAUGUUGUGGAGGUUGUUUCAGUUGUGGAAGAUGUUGUUAUGGGGGUCGUUUCAGUUGUGGAAGUUGUAAUUGUGGGAGUUGUUUCAGUUGUGGAAGAUGUUGUUGUGGAGGUUGUUUCAGUUGUUGUGGAAGUUGAAAUUGUGGGGGUUGUUUCUGUUGUUGUGGAAGGUGUUAUUGUGGGGGUCGUUUCAGUUGUUGUGGAAGAUGUUGUGGAGGUUGUUUCACUUGUUGAAGAAGGUGUUAUUGUGGGGGUCGUUUCAGUUGUGGAAGAUGUUGUGGAGGUUGUUUCAGUUGUUGUGGAAGGUGUUAUUGUGGGGGUCGUUUCAGUUGUGGAAGAUGUUGUGGGGGUCGUUUCUGUUGUGGAAGAUGUUGUUAUGGGGGUCGUUUCAGUUGUGGAAGUUGUAAUUGUGGGGGUCGUUUCUGUUGUGGAAGAUGGUGUCGAGGUUGUUUCAGUUGUUGUUGAGGUUGAAAUUGUGGGGGUUGUUUCUGUUGUUGUGGAAGGUGUAAUUGUGGGGGUCGUUUCAGUUGUGGAAGAUGUUGUUGUGGAGGUUGUUUCAGUUGUUGUGGAAGUUGAAAUUGUGGGGGUUGUUUCACUUGUUGUGGAAGGUGUUAUUGUUGGGGUCGUUUCAGUUGUUGUAGAAGUUGUAAUUGUGGAGGUCGUUUCAGUUGUUGUGGAAGUUGAAAUUGUUGGGGUUGUUUCUGUUGUUGUGGAAGGUAUUAUUGUGCGGGUUGUUUCUGCUGUAGUAGGUGUUGUGGUCCUUGUUGUAGUCGGUGUUGUUGUGGUUGUUUUUGUUGUUGUGGACGUUGUUGUAGUAGGUGUUGCUGUAGUAGGUUUUUCACACGUCGUCAUACAUUUUCUUGUGUUCUCAUCAAAGUAUGGCUUAUCCGGGGGACAUUGUGGGUAG
Molecule: long non-coding RNA, 1869 nt
Organism: Scleropages formosus (Asian bonytongue)
Lineage: Eukaryota; Metazoa; Chordata; Actinopteri; Osteoglossiformes; Osteoglossidae
Source: Ensembl